CCUUGUCAUUCUCGGGUCCGGUGUUGCCAUCUGACGACUGGACGGAGAACUGAUAAGGGC
Molecule: microRNA precursor, 60 nt
Filed under: Blattella germanica (German cockroach)
Lineage: Eukaryota; Metazoa; Arthropoda; Insecta; Blattodea; Blattellidae
Description: Bge-Mir-184_pre stem-loop
Source: RNAcentral